RNAcentral lists this long non-coding RNA (795 nucleotides) under Lepisosteus oculatus (spotted gar). Its description in RNAcentral is "lncRNA (ENSLOCG00000022326.1)". Lineage: Eukaryota; Metazoa; Chordata; Actinopteri; Semionotiformes; Lepisosteidae. The record is from RNAcentral.
GUGUGCAGGAGGAGUGUGUGUAUUAACCCCUCUCUCUCUCAGUGCAGUGUCAGUGUACAGUCGUGUGCAGGAGGAGUGUGUGUAUUAACCCCUCUGUCUCUCUCAGUUACGGGCGGGUGUACACUACAGACCCCUACCACGCUCUGACCCCUGCUGCUGCCGCUGCCUAUGGAGUAGGCGCUGUGGCCAGUCUGUACAGGGGCGGAUACAGCAGGUUUGCCCCCUACUGAAGAUCCCACUCCCACCCCCACCACCGACUCCCCCCUGCCCCCCCCAUGCCUUCUCCCUGGAGGACAGUGCCCCCUGCUGGACUGGAGGAGCGUUACCGCGGCGGGCGCCGGAGGCCUCGGGUGACGACAGCGGAGCCGCUGGGAGAGGGCUGGGGGGGCAGCGGGGGGGGGACCGUCCGCGGCCCCGCUGACCCCAGGUGACCGGUCCGCCCGAACCCGCCCGUUUUUAAUGUGCGAUACCUCAUUCCGCUCGGUCUGCGCGAGUCCGGGCGCAACGGCGACCCCGAAUCCGAGGAGGAGGAAGAAGAGGAAGAAUUUUUAAUUUUUAGGUUGUUUUUUUUUUUGGUUGACUUUUUUUUUGCAUUUCCGUUUUUGUUAGCUCUCCGUUCCUCUUCACAGUUAAUGUUGUUCUUAUUAUAAUUAUUAUUAUGGCUGGUAUUAUUAUAAUUAUUCGUGAUGUUCGUGGUUAGUACUGCAGGAUCAUGCCUGAUUAUAUCCUUGUAUAUCCUGUGUCUGGGUCUGGGGGUCCGGCGAUGUCUCUGUGGCGGGGGCAGGGGGGGUGGAC